GACGAACGCUGGCGGCGUGCUUAACACAUGCAAGUCGAACGAUGAAGCCCUUCGGGGUGGAUUAGUGGCGAACGGGUGAGUAACACGUGGGCAAUCUGCCCUUCACUCUGGGACAAGCCCUGGAAACGGGGUCUAAUACCGGAUACCACUCCUGCCUGCAUGGGCGGGGGUUGAAAGCUCCGGCGGUGAAGGAUGAGCCCGCGGCCUAUCAGCUUGUUGGUGGGGUAAUGGCCCACCAAGGCGACGACGGGUAGCCGGCCUGAGAGGGCGACCGGCCACACUGGGACUGAGACACGGCCCAGACUCCUACGGGAGGCAGCAGUGGGGAAUAUUGCACAAUGGGCGAAAGCCUGAUGCAGCGACGCCGCGUGAGGGAUGACGGCCUUCGGGUUGUAAACCUCUUUCAGCAGGGAAGAAGCGAAAGUGACGGUACCUGCAGAAGAAGCGCCGGCUAACUACGUGCCAGCAGCCGCGGUAAUACGUAGGGCGCAAGCGUUGUCCGGAAUUAUUGGGCGUAAAGAGCUCGUAGGCGGCUUGUCACGUCGGAUGUGAAAGCCCGAGGCUUAACCUCGGGUCUGCAUUCGAUACGGGCUAGCUAGAGUGUGGUAGGGGAGAUCGGAAUUCCUGGUGUAGCGGUGAAAUGCGCAGAUAUCAGGAGGAACACCGGUGGCGAAGGCGGAUCUCUGGGCCAUUACUGACGCUGAGGAGCGAAAGCGUGGGG
RNAcentral lists this ribosomal RNA (721 nucleotides) under Streptomyces sp. PU1-3/81. RNAcentral describes it as "bacterial SSU rRNA". It matches the Rfam family "Bacterial small subunit ribosomal RNA", at positions 28 to 766 of the family's 1533-position model. Lineage: Bacteria; Bacillati; Actinomycetota; Actinomycetes; Kitasatosporales; Streptomycetaceae. The record is from RNAcentral.